UGGCACUGCGUGUACUAACAUUAUGUCAUACCGUAUAUUCUGAUAUGCUAUGACAGCGUCUUUUGCCGCUUGAGCCUUUUAGCCCCUCUGAUCACAAGAAGUAUCUUUCAUAUGAAAUAAAGAUUUCCUGAUACGCUGAAAAGCCUCCCAAAGCAGAAUGAACCUCGGUAAUGACAUAAUGUUAGUACACGCAGUGCCAAUGAAAGAAAAAGUGUCUGGCUUCAAGCAAAGAGAACAAGCCCUCUACCUGUAUCUGAUUUGAAAGCUUUCCUUUGUCAAAUGAAAUCUGUCAGACAUUACAUAUCCAAUAGAUUCCAGAUUCUAUGUUGGCGUAGAGAAGCUGACCCGGAACCCUGACUUCCCAUGGUCAUAAUCAAA
RNAcentral lists this unclassified non-coding RNA (378 nucleotides) under Hevea brasiliensis (rubber tree). Lineage: Eukaryota; Viridiplantae; Streptophyta; Magnoliopsida; Malpighiales; Euphorbiaceae. The record is from RNAcentral.